GCUGGGCAUGGUGGUGUGUGCCUGUAAUCCCAGCUUCUCAGGAGGCUGAGGCAGGAGAAUCACUUGAACCCAGGAGGCGGAGGUUGCAGUCAGCUGAGAUCGCGCCACUGCACUCCAGCCUGGGUGACAGAGUGAGACUCUGUCUUUA
Molecule: unclassified non-coding RNA, 148 nt
Organism: Papio anubis (olive baboon)
Lineage: Eukaryota; Metazoa; Chordata; Mammalia; Primates; Cercopithecidae
Rfam family: Metazoan signal recognition particle RNA
About the family: The signal recognition particle (SRP) is a universally conserved ribonucleoprotein. It is involved in the co-translational targeting of proteins to membranes.
Source: Ensembl